This is a long non-coding RNA of Catharus ustulatus (Swainson's thrush), 632 nucleotides long. RefSeq lists it as uncharacterized. The record is from RefSeq and is a predicted model, not a curated record. The transcript has 2 exons. Lineage: Eukaryota; Metazoa; Chordata; Aves; Passeriformes; Turdidae.
GGUCGCGGCCGCUCCGAGGCGGCGGCAGGAGCCCCGCAGGGCCGGGGAGAAAGAGGGGUUGAUGCAGCCCCACACAGCCCUGGCACGGCUGGGACGCGCUGGGGGUGAUGCCCGCCCCGAGUAGAACGCGGAGCCCACAAAAUGGCCCCCUCCCCUCACACAAAAUGGCCCCCCCUCAGGGGAGGGCAGGCCGGGCCGGGGGGAACAGGGACAGCACGGACAGCAACGGCCACAAACUAAACACAAACUAAAAACAAAUUAAACCACAAACUAAAAACAAACUAAACCCCGAACUAAACCACAAAAUCAACCACAAAUUAAACCACGAACUAAACCACGAACUAAACCACAAGUUCCACCUCAGCGUGAGGGUGGCAGAGCCCUGGAGCUGCCCAGUGUGAAAACCACGUUUUAUUGUUUUGUUUUUGGAAUCUCCCUCUCCAGGGCCAUCCCAAACCCACCUGGAUUCGGGCUGGUGACAAAGUGGGGAUCAGCCAAAAGUUGGAUUUGAUGAUCCUGGAACUCUCCUCCAACCUCAGUGAUCCUGGGAUUCUCUAAUUCCAUCACCUGAGACGUGAGCCAGGCCUGGGGGAGGCCCUGUGUGGAAAUAAAAUAAAAUUAAACAAGCAGAA